GCAGACGUCCAACCAAGUCCAAUCAGACUUCAGGAGCCUUUUCUGCCAUCUUGCGUGAGUUAUCUGUGAAAGAGACUAACAUUAAAUCAUUAGCAGGCCUAUGUAUCGAGAAUUGGAAAUUCCCAACUAUUUGAUGAUGUCAGUACACACAAGCCUUGAAGCAAGAGAGCGCUGCGAUGCAUCAUGACAUUGCGACAUUGCCUUAUGAUAUCAAGAGGGGGCUAACUUAUUUCCCUCGACUGUUUUCAAAGCGUUUUAAAGAAAAUUUGAGGAAUAUCUUAAUCCCGUGUCGUCAUUAGCAAGGAAAGUCUGUCUUCCACGCCAAUCUUGGGUCGGGAGUUCUACUACUCUGCACAAAUUGAAGUUUAAAUCGGCAGGCAUAUUGUGACGCUGCGGUUGUUCAACACAAGACCACGUCCAUUUCACUGGAGAAGCUAUGAUGACAGACGUCUUGAAUAUGUUUUUUAUCGGGACAGCGUUCACUGUCCUCGCCGCGCUGAUGGGAAUGGUGGAUUCAUUUGGUGGUCUCAUGUAUGUCCAAGACGCGGAUCCUGCAGAUUAUUUACAGUUGGACAGCAGUACUGACAUACGGAUGUCUUCAACCCAUUCGAGAGGUUCAGGGAGUACCAAACGCAUUGGAUCAUGAUGAGGACGUCAUGUGGAGUGGAAUUAACACGAACAGGCUUGGCUUAUGUUAUGUUUUCGUUUGUAAAUGACUGCUUGCACUGUACAAUGUGUACACUGAAUUUUACAAAACAUUAUUGAGCCUUUCAUCAUGGUUCGCUUUCAGUUUCACUAGUUGGUGUCCCACUCCCAUUGGGCAGAAACUGGCUGAAUCAGCGCUGGUUCCACGUCAUUUCAACCCCCGAAAAAUCUAUGUGAUGACGUUGAAUGAUCGUGGAUUGGAUUUGUAAAAAGUCAUUAACGUAUGUGCGGGCACUCUGUCUCUUUUUUAACCUGAAUCCAAUGAUAUGUGGAUAUUUUUUUGUUGAAUUGUGCAAUUCAGAACUAGACGUGGAACUGACGUCUGUGCGCAGUGGGGUUUGAUUUAUACAGGUCACUACGGAUUUGAUGAGGUGUUUAAUUUGUUUUGCACAUUUGUAUACAUGGCAUUGCCUAUAUGAUGUAGGCUAUUUGUUGUAUAUUGAAGAUCACAUCAUGUGUAAAAGAAAAAGAGCUACAUUAUGCACUAAUUGACUCUUCAUCAUGCACUGUAAUAUGGUGUCAUAAACAAAGUUGUAAAGAAUAAACACUUUUAUAGGCUAUUGUCAAUAAAAUGAAUAGACACUA
Molecule: long non-coding RNA, 1290 nt
Organism: Oncorhynchus nerka (sockeye salmon)
Lineage: Eukaryota; Metazoa; Chordata; Actinopteri; Salmoniformes; Salmonidae
Exons: 2
Source: RefSeq, a predicted model, not a curated record